RNAcentral lists this ribosomal RNA (373 nucleotides) under uncultured Methanosaeta sp. RNAcentral's name for it is "bacterial SSU rRNA". It matches the Rfam family "Archaeal small subunit ribosomal RNA", at positions 966 to 1338 of the family's 1478-position model. Lineage: Archaea; Methanobacteriati; Methanobacteriota; Methanomicrobia; Methanotrichales; Methanotrichaceae. The record is from RNAcentral.
CCUUACCGGAUUAGCUGAGAGGUGGUGCAUGGCCGUCGUCAGUUCGUACUGUGAAGCAUCCUGUUAAGUCAGGCAACGAGCGAGACCCACGUCCACAGUUGCCAGCAUAUCCUCCGGGGUGAUGGGUACACUGUGGAGACCGCCGCUGCUAAAGCGGAGGAAGGAAUGGGCAACGGUAGGUCAGUAUGCCCCGAAUCUCCCGGGCUACACGCGGGCUACAAUGGUUGGUACAAUGGGCAUCUACCCCGAAAGGGGAAGGAAAUCUCUUAAAGCCAGUCGUAGUUCGGAUUGAGGGCUGCAACUCGCCCUCAUGAAGCUGGAAUCCGUAGUAAUCGCGUUUCAACAGAACGCGGUGAAUACGUCCCUGCUCCUU